UUCAUAUCUACGUCUCAAAUUUGUCUUACAACAAAAACUCUCAUAGCAACAUGUUCAUCACCACCAUCUUCCCGACGCCAAUCCGUCGCAAAGUAUCAUUCCGGCGACGGAGGCCGCCAUCAGUUCGCUUAGGAGGUAAGAAACUCGGUCGCAGGUUCAAUCUAGUGAGACUUUUGAAACGAGUAAAACUGCGAUGGAUGAAACUCAAAUACUCGCGUUUGCUUAAAAAGCUCAAAGAAUAUUAUCGUUGUCUCGUGGAGAACCUCAGUAGUGCGGAGGCAUACCAUCAGAGAAUGCUUUUAGAGACAUCUUUUGCCAUUCCUGUCAUGGGGCUUUCCUUCAAUUCCUAUCCCAGCAAUUUAGUCACAUUUUAAGGUAUAUUUCAAAUCGUUAUUCGCACUGUAAUACAAGUUUCUUCUCCUUCAGUUUGAUUUAAG
RNAcentral lists this long non-coding RNA (437 nucleotides) under Olea europaea subsp. europaea. Lineage: Eukaryota; Viridiplantae; Streptophyta; Magnoliopsida; Lamiales; Oleaceae. The record is from RNAcentral.